GCUGCUGGCAACUGCUUUUGCUUACUUAACAAAACUAAUCAAAGUGAGUUGAUGUUGCCAGCAUCAGCCAAUACGUGAAAAAAAAAAUCUGUAAGGAAGUCAUAAACUCUCUCAAAUCCACUUCAACCCCUCAUCCCUUCUAACUCUUUUAUGGUCAGGUCUGCACUACAAGGUAUUCAAAAAUGUGCAUUAAGGGAGGGAAAACAGCGACCUCCUCCCUCUGCCUGACUUUCUCUUUUUUGAGCAGCAGCAGCAGCAUUCCAUUCCUGAGGAAAGUAUGUGGUGUAGUAGCCCAGCAGUCACAGGAUUUCUCUUAUUUUAACUGUGCUGCUGCCAGUAACGUCACAGGUUAUUCUGGGUAAUUAAGUACUGAAUGUAAAUAUGUUAAGUCGGCAGCCCUUUUAAGGCCUGUGUGUUUCUUCCUGCUCAGUUAUCUGACAUAAGAAGACCUCGAGACGUUAAAAAACAGCGUGUUUGCACUGUAAACAAUGAGGGCUACACAGUUGAAAUCAAAUACAAAGGAAGAUUUUUCCCAUUUCUCUCUUGCAACAUACUUGAAGGCAAUGUUUUAAGCACUUGGGAGACAUAAACAUCUGGAUCUGGAAUGUCUGUAGCUACACUGAUGAAAUAAAGAUGUAAAAUCUGGUAAAUUUUUAUCCAUGUUUUCAUCCGCUGGUGCCGAUUUAUUCAUUUGUGUCGAGUGAUUUGUGAUGAUGAAACAAACACGGCUAAAAAAAAUACAUAAAGCUGUCAAAUAGAGCCUUUAAAAAGCUACUAACUUGACAGAAAUUGUGUGAUAAUGAGCCGUAAUUGCACACUUACCAGACAUGUUGACAAACCCAGAGUACUGUCAGUGAAGGGCUGAUGGUUUUCCUGUUUGAUUUUGUUUCUUUAUGAAACUUAAUUUACCAUUUUAGGUCAAGAAGCAGCUUGGUUAUUGAAUCAUUUUUGUUCCAUGAUGGCCUCUGUUUGGCGGUGCUAUGUUUAACCACUGAAGAGACAAAAGAGGAAACACAGAGUAACAAAUAAACACACACGCAUGGUGUCAGAUGCAUGACGUGAGUUUGACCUUAUGACUGGUGGCUGAUGAGCGAUUGAAUAGUAAAUGCUGAGUUGGAUUUUACCGGAGACGACAAGAAACAGACCCUGUAAGACUGAUUAAACUUUCGACUCUCUAUCGUGAGGAAGGUUUUUUUUUUUUUUUUUUACUGUUUUUCCAAAGCGCUGACGUUAGACACUGAAUACUGAAUCUGAGUCACAGGAGGAAUACUCCCUUUUUUAUAAAAGGCCUCUUCCAGCCAAACUGACUAACUCCUAAGACUUCACUUGUUCUACCUUUGGCUUGUUGCCAGACAAGCAGAUUAGAUUUAUGGUUACUGUCAUCGUUUAUGGCUAAUGACUCAGCAGAUCAACCUCUUCCCCUGAAUCGCAUGUGGAAUCAAUUUUUAGUUUGCUGAAGAUGCUGGGUCGACUCUUUCAUCUUCACUGGAGCAUGCUUGGAGUACAUAGCAAACGAACCAGAUGAGUAACCAGCUUCGUGUCCUGGUUGGCUUGUAUCACCAUCACGUUGACCGCAAGCAACGACACACCGUUUCCUUUCUGUAGCUCCUCUGUAAUGAGUAAGAUACACGCAUCAUUUGGGUCAUACUUUCUAGAUGAAAUCAGAUAGUUUCAUCAGUAAAGACAUUCUUAGCACAUGAUAAGGCAAGAAGCAGGAGGUUGCAGAAGAUAUUGGGUUUAUUUACCUCAUGUUAGAUUAGAGAUGAGAUGUGAUGCUAUUGCAUUUGAGAGAAGAUGUGAGAUGAGAAAACUUAUUGGAUUAAAAUAUACAAUAUUUGAAACAAGACAAAAUAGAAUGAGAUUCAACUGAACAAAAUGGGACUGUAUUACUUUGGAUUAGAGCAGAGUUUAGGCUCCUUUACAUGUUGUUUUAGAUGAGAUUACAUUAUGCUGAAUUAGGAUUGCAUUAGGUUACAUUAAAUUAGAGAGGAUGUUCCAUGAGAUGUGACUGGAGGAUAAAUGAGAUGGGAUCAGAUUAUAUUAAAGUUGAAUAAAAAUGUGAUGUGAUUGAAUGAGAUGAGACGAGACUGGAUUACACUAGAUUAAGAUAAGAAUCCAUAAUGUGAGACGCAAAAGGUGAUAAACUGAGAUAGCAGAGAGGAAAUACAACAAUUUGAUAUCAGAUUAGAGGUGAGAUGCCAUGAGAUUUGAUUAUGUUAGAGAUGAAAUUAGAUAACAUUAUAAUAGAGAUUCAGUGGAAUGAAAUAGAAAUAAAUAGGAUUGUAUUUAGUAGACUUGAGAUGAGAUGAGAUUCAGCCCAAUUUAACUGAAUCGAUUAUAGAUGAGAUGUACUGUGGGAUGAGAUGGAAUGCUUAAACUGAGAUUACAUGAGAGCAAUCGCUUUUCACUAAAGGUGAGAUAACAUUAGAUUAGGUGCAGUUAGCUAAAAUUAGAUUACAUUAAAUUUGAUGGUACAUUAGUGAUACGACAUUAGCUACAUUAGAUUAGAGUGGAGAUGUGACAGGUUUAGAUGAGAAUGAAAUUAGGCUAUACAAAAGAAGAGAUGAGAUUAGAUAAAAUUUGACUACUUUGGGUUUGAUAGGACGUUCAGUGAGAUGGUAUGAGAGUAAAUGAGAUGAGUUUACAUGAGAAUGAGAUUAUAUUUGAUGACAGAAGAGAUGAGGUUAGAUGAGAAUGAGAUUGUAUUUGACCACAGCAGAGGAGGUUAGAUGAGAAUAAGAUUGUAUUUGACCACAUGAGAGGAGGUUAGAUGAAGUGAAACUAGAUAAGAUUAGAUUACAUUAACCUGAAUAUGGCAUUAGAUGAGAUGGAAAGAGAGUAAAUUAGGUGAGUUUAAAUCAGAAUGAGAUUCAAUUUCACAAAAAGAGAUGAAGUUGGACGAGAUGAAAUCAGGUGAAGUUAGAUUACAUUAAAUUUGAAAUGGCAUGAGAUGAGACGGAAGAUUGACGUACAUUACAACAGAACAGGGAUGUGUUGGGUUUAGAGCAUGAGAAUGCAUUUUACAAAAUGAGAUGAGAUUCGAUGAGAUGACAUCAGAUUAAAUGAAAUGAGACUGAAUCAGAUGGGUCUGAAUUAGAAUACAGAUGAGAUGCUUGGAUGAGAAUGAGAUUAUGUUGUUAAAAGUAGAGAUCAGAUUAAACUGUAUAAGAUUAUAUUAGACUAAAAUCAGUUGAAUUAAAAUGAGAAUAUUAGAUAUGAGAUAAGAUGAGAUUACACUAGUCAUUUACAUGAGAUGGUAGAGAAGAGACAGGAGAACUAUAGAGUGGUAACAAUGAAAUGGAAACAAGAUAAUGGUACAUGUGGUGUCUUUUUCCUGCAGACUCUGCCAGACAAAAAGACAUGACUGGUAAGACAAAGCCUCUGCAGGACCACCUCUGAUAUUCUGCAUCAGUCAGACACCCAGCUGCUCAGUCAAUGCCAUUCCACCCAAUUACUGUCCAUCUGGCAGCGGCGUACAUUGAUGACCUCAAAUACACCCGUUGUGUCCAGCACAACAAAAACAGUGGAGCAUGAGCAGCAGACUUUUCCUUAGAUCGCCGUGCUGUGGGGUCUGGGCUCUUGCAGGCAGUUUUGGAUUACCGGAAGUAACAUUGAGUCACUAAUCUUGCUGCUUUCUGACUCAGACUGUUGAACUCAGAAAUCUGAUCUGGUACAAAGAGGCCCCCUGUUGUAAGGGGAUCUUUUUUUUUCUUCCAAAUGCUCCAAAUUAUUUGUGAGAAAAAGGCUGAUAUUAACCAUACAGACUAUUUUAAACUGAGGUAAUAGCAAAGAGCCAAACAACACACACUGCUUAAAAAUACUGAAUUCCGAAUCACGUUUUUCUCCCACGUCCACGUUAUUCAGGAACAGGUCUAACUGAAAAUACCCGACACAUUAGACAGCAGCCCCUGGCACCAUUUGAGCCGUAUGUAAUCUCAAAAGUUACAGAAUUGUUUUUGCAGAUUUGUAGACUUCCCAUAUGACACAAGAUUUAAUUUGGAGCAGUUACUGAACAUUCCACUGACUUCACCAAAAUGUGUUUUAUAUGAAAACACUUUACGUAACCAGCUGGCAGCGUGGAGCUGCAUGGAAACGAACAUGGGUGAAGUUACAGUAGUAGUGGUGACAGCGAGAGUUGGAGGAGGCCGUGAUGGACUCCUUAAAGCCUCAUAGCCACUAAUGAAGUUCAGCAAGAUUCUCUUCUAGCUUUUCCAUAUUGAAAACUAUUUGACAUCCAAAAUGAGAGUUUUGGCUUUUGGGAACAACUUGCUAAAAUCCAUUUAAUGUCGUCUUUAUGGAUCACUUCUAUAACAGAAGGAGAAAGUAGCCUCUUUCUAUUCCUGAUAGUCUUGUCACAGCUGAGCAAUGCCCAAGGAAUGAACAAAUCACUGCUGCUGACCAUGGGUGGGACUAAAUAUGGACUAUUAUUAAGGGUGGUAAGGUCUGGGUGCUCCACUCGUGUUUUCCUCAGGACAUGGAGUUGUAAAUGAUUAAAAAAAAGCCAAAGAAGCAACUUUUUUAUCUGUCAUUUCUGAAAAAAAAGACUCAUACAGCUCUUAGAUUUACAGCUUUCAGAAACCCGCAUCUUGUUUAUUUUGGUUGCAGUCAAUGCUGUAUUUCUUUUUUUUUAAUCAUGAGACAUUCUUCUAUUUAAAACUAACCCUUGUUUUGUUAGGAUGUCAUUCAUUUUUAUCCAAUUUGCACUAAAUUCUGUCAAUAAGAUAUGAAGAUGUAAUAGGUUAGAAAUUACAGUUUAGUAGAAUGGAGACUACUGCCACCUUGUGUUACAUCACUGAAAUUUAAAGCCAACUACCUCUGGCUUUUUCCUCUGAAUUCUAGCUUCACAUUCAAUUUUUUUUUUUUCAGGGAUGAGGAGUCUUCUUUUUUCUUUUCUUUUCCUCAGAAGCAAUUCUCAGGAAGUGAAAGUCAGAAUCAGAUGGAAAUAUGAGGGGCUAUCCAACCUCGUAAGGCAAGACAAAGAUCCCAGAAGUGCUAAUUCAUUUUGCACGGUGGAGAGAGAGACAGGAGACAUGGGGUAAAGACAUGCAGCAGUAAAUGACCAUGAGAUGGACUCAAACCCAUGACAGCAGCGUCUGGGACUACAGCCCCUGAUUCAGGGUCACUUGCUCAACCUGUUGAGCUACCAGGACGUCCAUUCCAUAUUUUUUUUUAAGUUAAAGACAUGCAAAAAUUACAAGUCGACACUGUCCUUAAACUUGCUCUGCAGGCUGCCGCCAGGUAUGCUUGUACACCUUUGUUUGAAAUGAUGACGUCAGAGGUGAUAACUGAAAAGCACAUUAUGUUCCUCACAGUCUGUGCUUAGAACGCCUAAAUUCGUCAAACAGGUUUAGUCACUGGGGCUAGCAGACAACACAUACACAUAUGCACCAAUCAGGCAUAACAUUAUGACUACCUUCUUGACAUUGUGUUGGUCCCCCUUUGCUGCCAAAACAGCCCUGACCCAUGGAGAUGUGGACUUCACUAGACCUUCAAGGUGUGCUGUGGUAUGAAAGCUUGAAUCAUCCAACCAGGCCACCUUCUUCCAUUGCUCCGUUGUCUAGUUCUGGUGCUCACUUGACCAUUGUUGAUGCUAUUAGUGGUGCACAGGGGUCAGCUUGUGCACUCUGACUGGUCUGCAGCUAUGUAGCCCUAUAUGCAACAACACGGAACCACACGGGCCAGCCUUCGCUCCCCAGCCAACAUGGGUGAAGAAGGAGCGAAGGCUUUAAGGGCUAAAUUGUGAUGGCUAGACACUAUCACAAUUUAGCCCUUAAAGCUUGCUCAAAUCCUUACACUUGCCCAUUUUUCCUGCUUCUAACACAUCAACUUUUAGGAUGUUGUUCACUUGCUGCUGAAUAUGUCCAACUAAAUAACAGAUGCCAAAAUAAAGAGACAAUCAGUGUUAUUCACCUCACUUUCAGUGGUCAUAAUGUUAUGUCUGAUCAGUGUAUAUGUACAGUGGUUAUAGUAGACAACUGCACAUCUUAAGGACACUUGUGGUGGGUCUUUACAGUACAUGAGUUGGUGCUGCACUGAGUGCAUCGUGAUGCUCUCCAUCAAUGUGCAUGUGACUGCAACUGAAGGCCUUCAAGCAUUCUUCUUCUGGGAAAGUUAGACAUUUUAUGCAAAGGUGUAAUUAAGAAGGGUGACCAUACAUACUUACAACAACUAAUAAAUUCAGAAACACCAAGCUAACCAGUGAAGAAAUUCAUAACAAAAUAUUUAGAGAAAAUUAGGCAGAAGUGUAAGGUUAUAUCUGCUCCAUAACACAACAUGAAGUCCAAUGCUCAAAGCAGAAGUAACUAAACCUCGUUCUUAGGAUUUUAAAACAUUGCAGGCACAGCCCAGGACAUAAAUCUUUUGAGUUUAACCCGAUAAUUGCACGAUUUUCAGGUCAUUUCAGAGUAAAAGUUGGAUGAGAUGUGAGGCCCUGUGCUUGAGGCAGAGUAAGAUCAUUAUGCUUUCUUUCCAUAUUCCAGAUUAAUGAGUGCAGACUUCUACGUCACUGGUUCUCAACAUGUGCGUCUUGGAAUCAGUUAUUAUUUGUGAUCAUUUACAGAGCUACAAUUACAUGUAAAGGAGUCCCGAAUGACAUAAAUGUUUGAGAACUGCUGAGCCAGACUAUGAUUGCUGCUUACUAUUUUCAUUUGGAUCUCUCUUGAGCCUUGAGAUGACAUGUGUUGUGAAUUGGUACUAC
Long non-coding RNA from Acanthochromis polyacanthus (spiny chromis), 6697 nucleotides. RefSeq lists it as uncharacterized. The transcript has 2 exons. Lineage: Eukaryota; Metazoa; Chordata; Actinopteri; Pomacentridae. The record is from RefSeq and is a predicted model, not a curated record.